GGAUGUGAGGGCGAUCUGGCUGUGACAUCUGUCAACCCACUGAUCGCCAGGGUUGAUUCGGCUGAUCUGGCUGGCUAGGCAGGUGUCUCCUUCCUCCCUCACCACUCCAUGUGCGUCCCUCCCGAAGCUGUGCGCUACGUCAAAGAGGACGGCCUUCCCCGAAUAGAGACAAACGAGUCUUCGGUCAAGGGUAUACAAGUAGUUGCUCUCCCCUGCUAGAAACUCCAAACAAGCUCAUUUUAACUCAGACACAUGUGCGAAUUAGUUGCUUAGUCUAGUCCACAGGAGGCAAUCUUGUCUUAGAUAAAAUAAUUAUGUGCAGGGUUGUGACACUACUUGAGAAC
Unclassified non-coding RNA from Erinaceus europaeus (western European hedgehog), 344 nucleotides. Its record names the gene 7SK. It matches the Rfam family "7SK RNA". Rfam says of the family: 7SK was discovered as an abundant small nuclear RNA in the mid-70s but a possible function has only recently been suggested. Two independent studies have found that 7SK RNA binds the CDK9/cyclin T complex (known as elongation factor P-TEFb). Lineage: Eukaryota; Metazoa; Chordata; Mammalia; Eulipotyphla; Erinaceidae. The record is from Ensembl.